RNAcentral lists this ribosomal RNA (610 nucleotides) under uncultured bacterium. RNAcentral's name for it is "bacterial SSU rRNA". It matches the Rfam family "Bacterial small subunit ribosomal RNA", at positions 28 to 671 of the family's 1533-position model. The record is from RNAcentral.
GAUAAACGCUGGCGGCGUGCCUAAAACAUGCAAGUCGAACGGGCACCUUCGGGUGUCAGUGGCGGACGGCUGAGUAACACGUGGGUGACCUGCCCCGGAGCGGGGGAUAACUGCCCGAAAGGGUGGCUAAUACCGCAGACAUCGGUGAUUCGUUUUGCCGAUUGAACCUUUUGGGUUCUGGGAGGGGCCCGCGGCCGAUUAGCUAGCUGGUGGGGUAACGGCCUACCAGGGCGACGAUCGGUAGCUGGUCUGAGAGGAUGAUCAGCCAGACUGGGACUGCGAACGGCCCAGACUCCUACGGGAGGCAGCAGUUAGGAAUUUUGGGCAAUGGGCGAAAGCCUGACCCAGCAACGCCGCGUGGGUGAUGAAGGCCCUCGGGUCGUAAAGCCCUUUUCCCAGGGACGAUAGUGACGGUACCUGGGGAAUCAGCCCCGGCUAACUGCGUGCCAGCAGCCGCGGUAAUACGUAGGGGGCAAGCGUUGUCCGGAUUUAUGGGGCGUAAGGCGCUCGCAGGUGGUUCGUUGCGUCGUGCGUGAAAGACCCCGGCUCAACUGGGGAGCGUCGUGCGAUACGGGCGGACUGGAGGCCAGUAGGGGGAUGCGGAAUCCCG